Varroa destructor (honeybee mite) is the source of this 1783-nucleotide long non-coding RNA. The record is from RefSeq and is a predicted model, not a curated record. NCBI's taxonomy places the organism in Eukaryota, Metazoa, Arthropoda, Arachnida, Mesostigmata, Varroidae.
CUAUCGGAAAAAAAAAACGAAUUAAUCAGCAGUUUUCCUAAGACAUUGUUGUGGCAGGCAACACCCCCAAGGACGCCGUGAUUUAGGAAAGGAAGAUUCGGCCCAUAUUGCAAGUUAAUUAUGCAAAUCACAGUUUGAAGUAUCUGAUAUCGUCUAGGUACGGUGCUCUACUAAAGGAAGAUCGACAAAUGUUACACUUUCCUAAAGAUGUAACAUGAGGUGAGGGUGGAACGGAAAAGAUCACUGGCGGAAGUUCCCUGGACAGACACCCCUUUCAAUGCGUUCGACAUGAGGUACAGAGCUAGAGUUAAUCCAAGAAAACGAGUCGCGCUAUUCCAUUCCAUAGAAAAAAAAAAAAACAAUAAUAUAUAAAUAACAGUAGAUUUGCAAAUUUCAAGAAACAACGAAACUAGGCCAAUAGAUACAUUGGCAAGCCAGCAACUGGUGCUGUUUUCCAAAUAAGGAGAACUUUUUACGAUAGCUGCAAACAUGUAUGUAUUAAUGCCGUUGUGGAUCAAGAAGAAGCCUUCCUAGACCAGUCUAGAAGAAGGGACCAUGGUGCUCCGAAUUUGCAUCCCAGAUCUCAUGCAUUUCGCAUCCGCUAUCACUAAUCUCAGCUGGUUGCUGAUUUAUAGUUUCUGCGGCUAUGAGUCAAGUCUAAACGAGGGUCUUCAUAUGUGGUUUUGAAUCCAAAACAGCAGCACCUAUGAGGGUCAUUCGUGGCCAUAUACCCAUCACGACACCCCUCAUUGUCCAAGUUGCAGCCCGGUGGACAGUUAAACGCCAAACCCUGCCGCAAUGCUUAUACAUAAACAAGCUUCUGACACGCACACAUAAGUUCUCCCUGUGCCGGAUGUAGUAAGAACCGAUAAACUCAUGCGCGGCAUCUAACCCUUCUGUCCUUGCAUUGGAAGCACAAACCGGAAGGUCCAGUUAACCUUCUACGGCCCCCGCUUCCGAGAUGAUUCUUCAAAAAGAAAAACGUAUGCGUCAUAAAGGCAACAAUAGUUUUCCAGCUGGAGAUCCGUUCCAUCGGCUAUGUAGAACGUUAACCAUGCAAGUGGCUAACGCGCCACGGCGGCUCGACGGCGCUCUAUAUAUCUUCCCUAGUAUCAUGAUGUUGACCCGCGUACAUGGACUUUUUGGCUUAAUUCGAUGACCAAUUACAAUUUCGAGAAGGAUUUUUACAUGAUCACACUAAAUGAGUUCUGCUUAGUUGAACAAAAAUUUGUGUUAGGUCAAAGAAAAACUCAGAACGAUAUGAUGGUACGUUUAACACCUACGGCUAGUUCGAGGUAAUCUAGAGGUUAACAAUCCGUUCCGCGGCAAAUAGGAUAGUUUAGCUUAGCUGUAUCAUGAUUGAAAACGUACGGAUACGGAGACAACGAGUACGAGCUAGCAGCAAAAAAACAUUGUAACUAUGUUAAAGAACCCUCAUCGCCCUAUGUAACGUAAUAACAAUAACUAAGAUAAUGGCUAACCUACAAGUACAGGAUCCUUACGGGUUUGAAAGAACAAUUAUGAGGACCUCUGCAGCGUACUUGAUUAUGCUUCAUUUCCCGACUUGUACGUACUAUUUCGAUUCCUGAAUUAUUCCUCGUCAGCCAAGCAGAGUCAACAAUUAGAGGUGAUAUAAAUUUAUUUAAAUGACUACACACAAGUGUAGGGUGCAAGCCUUCAGCCAGACAUGUUUAAAGCUCUUUGUUUCAUUCUAGCACUUUUUCUCCGCAACACAUACUCCAAUAUCGUUUGGCAAAUACUCGUCAAUUAAUUCUCCUUUCAA